UAUCUCGCAGUCACAUCACGUCAGAGUUUUACUUCAAGGGUAGACGAAUUGACCGUUCACAGUACUGAAUUUACCCACCUUCCCGAUUGAUGGCUAACCGACCGUUUUAGUCCAUCACGCACAGUCUGACCAUGGGUGGCCGCACAGACGCUGUCCGCUAUAUCCUGUCGUUCAUCAACGCUCUUUUUUUGCUGGCGGGACUUGCUACCGUCGCCGUGGGACUAUGGCUCUUUUUCACCAUGCACGACAUCUGGAUGUUCGGAGAUGUCGCCGAAUACUCGG
Long non-coding RNA from Liolophura sinensis, 282 nucleotides. RefSeq lists it as uncharacterized. The transcript has 3 exons. NCBI's taxonomy places the organism in Eukaryota, Metazoa, Mollusca, Polyplacophora, Chitonida, Chitonidae. The record is from RefSeq and is a predicted model, not a curated record.